GGCACUAUGGCCGAGUGGUUAAGGCGACAGACUUGAAAUCUGUUGGGCUCUGCCCGCGCUGGUUCAAAUCCUGCUGGUGUCGCCA
This 85-nucleotide transfer RNA is filed under the name Saccharomyces cerevisiae (brewer's yeast). RNAcentral's name for it is "tRNA sequence". It matches the Rfam family "tRNA". From Rfam's summary of the family: Transfer RNA (tRNA) molecules are approximately 80 nucleotides in length. Their secondary structure includes four short double-helical elements and three loops (D, anti-codon, and T loops). Lineage: Eukaryota; Fungi; Ascomycota; Saccharomycetes; Saccharomycetales; Saccharomycetaceae. The record is from RNAcentral.